Molecule: ribosomal RNA, 497 nt
Filed under: uncultured bacterium
Lineage: Bacteria
Description: partial 16S ribosomal RNA
Rfam family: Bacterial small subunit ribosomal RNA
Source: RNAcentral
GAUGAACGCUGGCGGCGUGCCUAAUACAUGCAAGUCGAGCGAACAGACGAGGAGCUUACUCCUCUGACGUUAGCGGCGGACGGGUGAGUAACACGUGGAUAACCUACCUAUAAGACUGGGAUAACUUCGGGAAACCGGAGCUAAUACCGGAUAACAUGUUGAACCGCAUGGUUCAACAGUGAAAGACGGUCCUGCUGUCACUUAUAGAUGGAUCCGCGUCGCAUUAGCUAGUUGGUAAGGUAACGGCUUACCAAGGCAACGAUGCGUAGCCGACCUGAGAGGGUGAUCGGCCACACUGGAACUGAGACACGGUCCAGACUCCUACGGGAGGCAGCAGUAGGGAAUCUUCCGCAAUGGGCGAAAGCCUGACGGAGCAACGCCGCGUGAGUGAAGAAGGUCUUCGGAUCGUAAAACUCUGUUAUUAGGGAAGAACAAAUGUGUAAGUAACUAUGCACGUCUUGACGGUACCUAAUCAGAAAGCCACGGCUAACUACGUG